RNAcentral lists this ribosomal RNA (115 nucleotides) under Erinaceus europaeus (western European hedgehog). Lineage: Eukaryota; Metazoa; Chordata; Mammalia; Eulipotyphla; Erinaceidae. The record is from RNAcentral.
GUGUACGGCCAUACCACCCGAAACACACCUGAUCUCCCCUGAUCUCAGAAGCCAAGCAGGGUCAGGCCUGGUUACUGCUUGGAUGAGAGGCAUUAUCAAUUGGUUAUUAUAAAUU